GGAUAAAAGGAUUUGUUGUAAAUUAUGCUCCAUUAGUCUUUUUGUGUUUUCUACCCACUUUUACCUCUGUGACGGUGAGAUAUCGUGAUGUCUUUACUGGGCUAGUGUAGCUUAUUUCUUAUUUAAUCAUUUCAGAUCAGGAAGACAUUGUUCCCCAGCCCGUUCCGCAGGAGGACGACGAAGGGGACGCCUAAAGACUNN
Molecule: long non-coding RNA, 201 nt
Filed under: Carica papaya (papaya)
Lineage: Eukaryota; Viridiplantae; Streptophyta; Magnoliopsida; Brassicales; Caricaceae
Description: long non-coding RNA (CPAP_LNC004187)
Source: RNAcentral